This is a long non-coding RNA of Prosopis cineraria, 2517 nucleotides long. RefSeq lists it as uncharacterized. The record is from RefSeq and is a predicted model, not a curated record. Lineage: Eukaryota; Viridiplantae; Streptophyta; Magnoliopsida; Fabales; Fabaceae. The transcript has 2 exons.
AACAGAGUCAAGUAUUAGAUACAUAAAUUUUUGACAUUUAAUAUAAUAAUCAAUAAUCAAAUAUUCUGCUGCUCAAAAUUUUAAAACAAAUUCCCAAACUCUCGUAGCGUAACCAUCGGGCGCUAUCCCCCCUCAUUUUCUUCCAGCAACCUCUCACGGGCCGUCGUCCUUGUAGCACCCUCCUCCAAAGCCCACCUCGGCGCCGCCUACCACGUGCUCAACCUCGGUGCCAUCGUCAAUUUGAAUGAAGAAACUGACCGUUGUGCCUCCUCCUCUGCCACCCAACCUAGAUCCAUUGUCGCGCCUCUUCCGCUGCCUUCGAACCUAGAUCCACCGUCGCGCCUCUUCCGUUACCGCUAAAGCCCAAUUCCCACCUUGACGCUGCCAGACCGAUCACGAAGCUCCUACUUCGCUGCUGCUAUAUGUUUAUAGUUACCUUAUGGAUUGUGAAAUGAAAAAAAUGGGUGCAGAUUCAAGCUUUAUACCGCCAUUAAUCUAUGCGAUGAUGGUAACUUUGAGGGAUUUGGCGGUGGCAACAGUGGCAGUUGGGUCACUUUUACUGGGAUUUAUGCUGGCCAGAUUGAUAAAUCCCAACUUGGACUCCAGGCUCUUUCUUCACCAUGCUUUCUCUGCCACAUUCUUCGUUGGGGUUAUGCAGGCUUCAAUAGGUUUGUUUAGAAGUGGAACCAAGAGCCAGGUACAAAGAAGGCUAUCUCCAGCAAAAUAAUUCCUUUAGAAACUUAGCAGAUUUCUGAGCAACAGGGGAGAGGCCAAUCUGGAUCAGAAAAGUAACAAACUUCUUCCCUAGUGUUUCAACUCAAUCAGGGAGCAUGUUGAUAAAAAGAAUCGUCAUUCUCAACGUCUUAGAACAUAUAAUUUUUUUUUUUUUAAAAGAUGGAAGGUAAUCUCUAAUCCCUCGCAUAAACACUAGAGAGCAAAUACUUGUCUCUCAGAUUAUUGCUUGUAAAAUUCGUAUCCUCUAUCUAUUGUGUCUAUCAUGUAAUUGAAGAUGAUGUGCAUCCUGACCUUCUGUUGCUUUAGUUUUUAAGCUUUGAAGAGAUCAUACUUGACAUGGAAAUGAAGGGAAUUCUAGAUAUGAGUAAGGUAUAUGCAUCUUUCAAGCUAUUACUUGAUAUUACCUUCAUUUUUCAGUUUCUAAUGUACAGAGUUUACUGGACAUAUGUUUAACAUGCAAAGUUUUAUAACAUCUGCAAGAGACAAAAGGCUGUUAGAGAAGCUUAUGAUUGCCUAAACUUGAUGGUCAAGUACAUGGCAUCAAAUUCAGUCAUCAGCCUAUUCGUAUUUUAAUUACUAGAGGUUUCUUUUUAUGGUGGUUUGAAAUUACAUGAAUUAUCUAUUUGGUUCACAUUCUUCUUUCUAUGGUACAGAGGAAAUGACUGAGGCGGGGAUCCGAACUUCCUAUUUAUGUUAUUACUUGCUAUUUUCAAAAUGAGAUGAUGGGAUCGGUUUUAUUUGAAUAUAAAUCACUUUAUAAAUUAAAUAACCUGCUCGUUGGUGAUGCAGGUUGUACAUUUUGAAAAUAGUUUGGUUGAUUCUAGGAAUGAGCUACAGCACAAGUAUGUCUACUUAUUCUACAAAUUAAAUGCUUGUUUGGAAGGCACCUUUAAAAAUUUUCUCCUUCCCCUUUUGAUAGUAUUGUAUUAUUAUUUUUUUUUGUUGGACGUUCUGGCAAAAAGGUGGAGCCCUGCGCAUAGCAAACACAUCGAUAUUAUAAAUAAAGUAGUAUAGAUAUUAAAUAAUCAUAAAACAUACAAGUAUGUCAGUAUCCAUGUUAUAAAUAAUCAUACAGUUCAUAAAUUUUAAGCGAGCUAAAUUAUGAAGACACAUGCAAGUAUGUCAGCAUAUAUUUCGGUGGAACUUGUACUUGAUAUGCACAUGUUUACGGCUGUUUGUAUUAUUGGAUUUGGUUUACAAAUCUUGUAUCUGUGUUUGCACCUGUGCUUCUUAAGUUGGUCUGUUUUUGGAAAUUAAUUUGCAUAACUCAUGUAAUGUGUAGAAUGAUGGUCUUCAUGCUUCAAAUAAGAUUACUGCAUUUGAUUUUGAUGGAUGUGUUGCAAAAACUGCUAUGGAUAAGGCAUGUAUAGUUAUAUUUCAUUUUCAUGUGAUUGAAUUGAAUUUGGAGUACAUUUACCCACUAUAUUUUUUUCAGCGUUGAUCCAUAAUGAAAAGGAGUUCAUGAAGAAAUAUUGUCCGACACAACUCUUGGAGGAAAACUGAUUAAAGAUGUCAAAUAUUGAUCAAAUUUGAGGACAAAUGUUGAAGAAUGAUCAGGGGAAGAUCAAUUGCUAGGAAUUAUUACUUCAAAUAACUUUUUGGUGAGGGGUAGAACUUGAAAAGUUGUAUUACUUACUUUGUUUGUUAUAGAUUUGUUUUAAAAUUGAAAGUGUUGUAUUUCAUGGAAUUGAACAGUAAAUGUAAUUUGUGGAAUUAAAGAGUCAAUACAAAUUAACAUUAGUGAUUGUAAUUUUUUAUGAUUAAUGAUAGUUUGUUGCCAUA